UACGUAGGGUGCGAGCGUUUGUCCGGAAUUAUUGGGCGUAAAGGGCUCGUAGGCGGUUUGUCGCGUCGGGAGUGAAAACUCAGGGCUUAACCCUGAGCCUGCUUCCGAUACGGGCAGACUAGAGGUAUGCAGGGGAGAACGGAAUUCCUGGUGUAGCGGUGGAAUGCGCAGAUAUCAGGAGGAACACCGGUGGCGAAGGCGGGUCUCUGGGCCAAUUGACUGACGCUGGAGGAGCGAAAGCGUGGGGAGCGAACAGG
Molecule: ribosomal RNA, 257 nt
Filed under: uncultured bacterium
Lineage: Bacteria
Description: partial 16S ribosomal RNA
Rfam family: Bacterial small subunit ribosomal RNA
Source: RNAcentral